Brassica napus (rape) is the source of this 125-nucleotide non-coding RNA. NCBI's taxonomy places the organism in Eukaryota, Viridiplantae, Streptophyta, Magnoliopsida, Brassicales, Brassicaceae. The record is from Rfam.
GUAAUAUAAGAAACCGUCUCUUAAUUUUUAACUAAAAAAGCUAAGAACCGGCUCUUAAAUAAGAUAUGUAAGAUCCGGUUCUUAACUUUUUUAGUUAAAAGUUAAGAGACGGUUUUUUAUAUUCC